UUAGAUAUGUGGGAAACUAAUUUGAUAGAAGAUAAGCAUUUCCAUGUGAGAUGUAUGACUCAUAUACUUAAUCUAAUUGUGCAAGAUGGUUUGAAUGAAAUUAGUCCUUCUAUCAAAGGGUGAGACAAAUGGUGAAAUAUUUUAGAUCAUCUUCUUCGAGGACAAGAAAUUUCUUGAAAUGUGUUGAAAUGCAAAAGAUAGAAUGUGAUAAGUUGUUGUCUUUAGAUGUGCCUACUAGGUGGAAUUCCACCUAUUUGAUGUUAAACACAGCAGAAAAGUGUGAGAAGGCUUUUAGAGGUUUGAUCUUUACGAUGGUAAUUUUAAUUCUUUUCUUGCUACUAAUGUUUGUGAAGAUGGAAGUAUCGCAGGGUCAAAAUAAUAUGAAGAUUGGGCUAAUGUGAGGAAUGUCACAAAGUUUCUUGAAAAAUUUUAUGAACUCACUUUGAAAGUUUCAGGUUCACGGUAUGUUACUUGUAAUGUUCAUUUUGAAGAUAUAUGUGCACUUGAUGCUUAUUUGAAAUUAUGUAUAGCAAGUGAUGACCUUGAUUUGAGUAAAAUGACUUUGGGAAUGAAAGAAAAAUUCAAGAAAUAUUGGGGUACUCCUGAAAGAAUGAACAAAAUAAUUUUUAUUGCUUAUGUUUUGAAUUCUCACAAUAAAUUUGUGUAUGUUAGUUUUGCUCUUGAAGAAUUACUUGGAAAACGGAAAAUGUAGUGAAUACGAAAGUAGAGUCUUACUUGAGGGAUUUGUUUGCGAUAUAUGUAAGUGAGUAUGGAAAAGGUUCCAAAAGUCAACCAUCUUCAUCUGACUCAUCUGAUUCUUCUGCUUGUGGUAUUUCUCAAAAUGUGUCCAAAAAUUCUUUGAGAACUAAGUUGCACAUGAAAAACAAAAGAAUGAUUCUGGAAGUUUAGGUGUUAAAUCCGAGUUGGAUAAAUAUCUUCUUGAAGACCAAGAACCUGAAUCUGGAGAUUUUGAUAUUUUGAGUUGGUGGAAAGUUAAUUCUCCUAGAUUUUCUGUACUUUCACAGUUGGCUCGAGAUGUAUUGGUUAUUCCUAUGUCGAGUGUGGCAUCGGAGUGUGCAAUUAGCACUGGUGGUCGAAUUCUAGAUCCCUUUAGAAGUUCAUUGACUCUCAAAUGUGUGCAAUGUCUUAUUUGUGUCCAAGAUUGGCUUAGACAAGAAACCAAGCCUAUUUGUGUUGAAGAAAGUUUGGAGUUUCUUGAAAAAAUUGAACUUGAGAUGACAAAUAGUGGAAGAAACUCUUCCAUUGUUGAUCUAUGAUUGACUUGCAAGCGUUGAGUUUAAUACAUCAUUUAUUUAAUCAUAUCAUUUUUAAUCUUAAAAGUAGUAUUCUAAGUUUCUAAUAUUUGAUUUUAUCUUAAAAGUUCCAAGGGUCAAGACAAUGAAGAAAUAAUUUUGUUGACAUGGAAGAAAGUCAAGAAACUCAUUAUUGUUGUUUGUUAUUGUUGACAUUUGAAUUGAAAGUAAUCUCAUGGAAGAAGACAAGAAGUUUAAAAUACAUUGUUUGUUUCUUAUUAUUGUUUAUUAUGAGCUCAUGAAAGACUUUAAUGUUACUUGUUAGAUUGUUAUUAUGUUGUAUUUGUGAAGACAUUAACUACAAAUCUACAAUGCAACUUUUGUUUUAGUUUCAUUGUUAAUUAAAAAUUGUGUGUUUUAGUGA
Solanum lycopersicum (tomato) is the source of this 1677-nucleotide non-coding RNA. Lineage: Eukaryota; Viridiplantae; Streptophyta; Magnoliopsida; Solanales; Solanaceae. The record is from RefSeq and is a predicted model, not a curated record.